Molecule: long non-coding RNA, 893 nt
Filed under: Ananas comosus (pineapple)
Lineage: Eukaryota; Viridiplantae; Streptophyta; Magnoliopsida; Poales; Bromeliaceae
Description: long non-coding RNA (ACOM_LNC012644)
Source: RNAcentral
UUUCAAAUAAUUCAAUUCGAAUUUUGUGCUGAAUAAAUGAAUUUGUUUUGAAUAAAUAUCUAAGAAAGAGGGGUGUAUUUUUGACGGACGGAUUGUAAAAGAAAUAGACUAAAUUACAGAAAAUUUUUCUAUUAAUAUCUAUUUUUUUUACUUUUCUUUUUUGUCAGUCAAAAUUUACAUUUUGCCUUCUUAAAAAAUAAAAAAUAUUCACAGAGAGGUAUAUUAUGACAAAAUAAUCAAACUGCUCCUCGUCCUCUUCAUCUCCUCUGCAGCCGUAGCCUCUCCUCCUCUAUUUUUCGCGCCAACCUCAACUCUAGCUCCGACUCCGUUUUUUCCACAUGCUCCCCUGAUCCUCCAACACCCUCGCCGCUCUUUCAUUUCGACGACUGUAGGGAGAUAGAUUGGGAUGCGCGUGGACGAAAAGAGGGGCGAGUGUGAAGGUGAGGCGGCAGCAGAGGGGCGAGGGCAUGUGUUGUCAUGAACAGAAAGGUGGGCGAGAACGAGGCGGCGAAGGGCGAGGCAACGACCGAGGAUAUGUUUGUGGGUAUAGAUGAGAAUUUCAAAGAUAUUUUGAGUAUAAAAAAUAAGAUAUAAACGAAACUCUAACGAAACACUAACGACGAGAGCCGAAGUAGAUAUUUUUAUUUUUUAAGAAAGUAAAAUAUAAAUUUUUAAUUGACAAUAAAAAAGCAGUGCAUGUAGUAAAAGUCCCGCCGUAAGUGGAUAUUUUUUUAUUUUUUAAGAAAGUAAAAUAUAAAUUUUUAAUUGACAAUAAAAAAGCAGUGCAUGUAGUAGUAAUAGUGGGUUUUUUUUUUUCUUUUCAUCAGAGACUUUGACUGUCUCACUUUUGUAACUUAGUUUAUUAAUCUAAUGAAUAAAGUAAGUAGCUUGAU